Molecule: ribosomal RNA, 207 nt
Filed under: uncultured bacterium
Lineage: Bacteria
Description: partial 16S ribosomal RNA
Rfam family: Bacterial small subunit ribosomal RNA
Source: RNAcentral
CGUGUAGGCGGCCAUGUAGGUCCGUUGUGAAAACUCGAGGCUCAACCUCGAGACGCCGAUGGAAACCAUGUGGCUAGAGUCCGGAAGAGGAGAGUGGAAUUCCUGGUGUAGCGGUGAAAUGCGCAGAUAUCAGGAAGAACACCCGUGGCUAAGGCGGCUCUCUAGUACGGUACUGACGCUGAGACGCGAAAGCGUGGGGAGCGAACA